GAGGGUAUAGCUCAAUUGGUAGAGCGCAUGCUUAUCAUGCAUGAGGUCCUGGGUUCAAUCCCCGGUACCUCCU
Molecule: transfer RNA, 73 nt
Organism: Camelus ferus (Wild Bactrian camel)
Lineage: Eukaryota; Metazoa; Chordata; Mammalia; Artiodactyla; Camelidae
Rfam family: tRNA
About the family: Transfer RNA (tRNA) molecules are approximately 80 nucleotides in length. Their secondary structure includes four short double-helical elements and three loops (D, anti-codon, and T loops).
Source: Rfam